GAUGAACGCUGACAGAAUGCUUAACACAUGCAAGUCGAUUCAACUUACCUUCGGGUAAUGAGGAUGGCGGACGGGUGAGUAACGCGUAAGGAACUUGCCUCUUGGUCUGGGACAACUGUUGGAAACGACAGCUAAUACCGGAUAUUAUGAGAUUCUCGCAUGGGAAACUUAUGAAAGCUAUAUGCGCCAAGAGAGAGCCUUGCGUUCCAUUAGCUAGUUGGUGGGGUAACGGCCCACCAAGGCGACGAUGGAUAGCCGGCCUGAGAGGGUGAACGGCCACAAGGGGACUGAGACACGGCCCUUACUCCUACGGGAGGCAGCAGUGGGGAAUAUUGGACAAUGGGCCACAAGCCUGAUCCAGCAAUUCUGUGUGCACGAUGAAGGUCUUCGGAUUGUAAAGUGCUUUCAGUUGGGAAGAAGAAAGUGACGGUACCAACAGAAGAAGCGACGGCUAAAUACGUGCCAGCAGCCGCGGUAA
RNAcentral lists this ribosomal RNA (478 nucleotides) under uncultured bacterium. RNAcentral's name for it is "partial 16S ribosomal RNA". It matches the Rfam family "Bacterial small subunit ribosomal RNA", at positions 28 to 523 of the family's 1533-position model. The record is from RNAcentral.